UGAUAUAUGGCAAGAUAUAGCUGCAGGA
Molecule: small RNA, 28 nt
Filed under: Bombyx mori (domestic silkworm)
Lineage: Eukaryota; Metazoa; Arthropoda; Insecta; Lepidoptera; Bombycidae
Description: piRNA piR-bmo-2090549
Source: RNAcentral